CACCUUCCUACUAAUCUCAGCAACGUGA
Molecule: small RNA, 28 nt
Filed under: Bombyx mori (domestic silkworm)
Lineage: Eukaryota; Metazoa; Arthropoda; Insecta; Lepidoptera; Bombycidae
Description: ovarian small RNA-13010
Source: RNAcentral